GGCCGCGGGAAUUCGAUUCAGGCCUAACACAUGCAAGUCGAGCGAACCCUUCGGGGUGAGCGGCGGACGGGUGAGUAACGCGUGGGUAACCUGCCCUGUACACACGGAUAACAUACCGAAAGGUAUGCUAAUACGAGAUAAUAUAUUUUAAUCGCAUGGUUAAGAUAUCAAAGCUCCGGCGGUACAGGAUGGACCCGCGUCUGAUUAGCUAGUUGGUGAGGUAAUGGCUCACCAAGGCGACGAUCAGUAGCCGACCUGAGAGGGUGAUCGGCCACACUGGAACUGAGACACGGUCCAGACUCCUACGGGAGGCAGCAGUGGGGAAUAUUGCACAAUGGGCGAAAGCCUGAUGCAGCAACGCCGCGUGAGUAAUGGAGGCCUUCGGGUCGUAAAGCUCUGUCCUCAAGGAAGAUAAUGACGGUACUGAGA
This 429-nucleotide ribosomal RNA is filed under the name uncultured bacterium. RNAcentral's name for it is "bacterial SSU rRNA". It matches the Rfam family "Bacterial small subunit ribosomal RNA", at positions 39 to 484 of the family's 1533-position model. The record is from RNAcentral.